Molecule: ribosomal RNA, 406 nt
Filed under: uncultured bacterium
Lineage: Bacteria
Description: bacterial SSU rRNA
Rfam family: Bacterial small subunit ribosomal RNA
Source: RNAcentral
UGGGGAAUAUUGCACAAUGGGCGAAAGCCUGAUGCAGCGACGCCGCGUGAGGGAUGACGGCCUUCGGGUUGUAAACCUCUUUCAGCAGGGAAGAAGCGAAAGUGACGGUACCUGCAGAAGAAGCGCCGGCUAACUACGUGCCAGCAGCCGCGGUGACACGUAGGCACCAAGCGUUGUCCGGAUUUAUUGGGCGUAAAGAGCUCGUAGGCGGUUCGGUAAGUCGGGUGUGAAAACUCUGGGCUCAACCCAGAGACGCCACCCGAUACUGCUGUGACUUGAGUACGGUAGGGGAGUGGGGAAUUCCUGGUGUAGCGGUGAAAUGCGCAGAUAUCAGGAGGAACACCAGUGGCGAAGGCGCCACUCUGGGCCGUAACUGACGCUGAGGAGCGAAAGCGUGGGUAGCAAA